This is a small nucleolar RNA of Podarcis muralis (Common wall lizard), 96 nucleotides long. Ensembl annotates it as small nucleolar RNA SNORD35. NCBI's taxonomy places the organism in Eukaryota, Metazoa, Chordata, Lepidosauria, Squamata, Lacertidae. The record is from Ensembl.
UGCAAGUGAUGUUUUUCUCACGAUGGUCUGCUGAGCCCCCAUGGUGAACAGGGUUCUGAUGAAAUUGCCUUGUGGCUGAACUGAUGGUGCUUGAAU